Molecule: ribosomal RNA, 376 nt
Filed under: uncultured Gemmatimonadota bacterium
Lineage: Bacteria; Pseudomonadati; Gemmatimonadota
Description: bacterial SSU rRNA
Rfam family: Bacterial small subunit ribosomal RNA
Source: RNAcentral
UAAGACGGAGGGCGCAAGCGUUGUUCGGAAUUACUGGGCGUAAAGGGCGGGCAGGUGGUCUGUUAAGUCGUCUGUGAAAAUCCGGGGCUCAACCCCGUGAAAUGCAGGCGAAACUGGCAGACUGGAGACCAGUAGAGGCUAGCGGAAUUCCUGGUGUAGCGGUGGAAUGCGUAGAUAUCGGGAAGAACACCUGUGGCGAAGGCGGCUAGCUGGGCUGGAUCUGACACUCAUCCGCGAAAGCGUGGGGAGCAAACAGGAUUAGAUACCCUGGUAGUCCACGCCGUAAACGAUGGGCACUAGGUAGGGGGGUUCCAAUGCCUCCCUGCUGGAGAAAAUUCGUUAAGUGCCCCGCCUGGGGAGUAUAGUCGCAAGGCUG